This 76-nucleotide transfer RNA is filed under the name Lactobacillus acetotolerans. RNAcentral describes it as "tRNA-Thr". It matches the Rfam family "tRNA". Rfam says of the family: Transfer RNA (tRNA) molecules are approximately 80 nucleotides in length. Their secondary structure includes four short double-helical elements and three loops (D, anti-codon, and T loops). Lineage: Bacteria; Bacillati; Bacillota; Bacilli; Lactobacillales; Lactobacillaceae. The record is from RNAcentral.
GCCGACAUAGCUCAGCUGGUAGAGCAUCUCCCUCGUAAAGAGAAGGUCGGAGGUUCGCCUCCUCUUGUCGGCACCA